GGGCUCGUAGCUCAGCCUGGUCAGAGCGCCAGUCUUAUAAACUGGACGUCCGGGGUCCAAAUCCCCGCGGGCCCA
This 75-nucleotide transfer RNA is filed under the name Candidatus Micrarchaeota archaeon CG08_land_8_20_14_0_20_59_11. RNAcentral describes it as "tRNA-Ile". It matches the Rfam family "tRNA". From Rfam's summary of the family: Transfer RNA (tRNA) molecules are approximately 80 nucleotides in length. Their secondary structure includes four short double-helical elements and three loops (D, anti-codon, and T loops). Further hydrogen bonds mediate the characteristic L-shaped molecular structure. tRNAs have two regions of fundamental functional importance: the anti-codon, which is responsible for specific mRNA codon recognition, and the 3' end, to which the tRNAs corresponding amino acid is attached (by aminoacyl-tRNA synthetases). tRNAs cope with the degeneracy of the genetic code in two manners: having more than one tRNA (with a specific anti-codon) for a particular amino acid; and 'wobble' base-pairing, i.e. permitting non-standard base-pairing at the 3rd anti-codon position. Lineage: Archaea; Nanobdellati; Microcaldota. The record is from RNAcentral.